RNAcentral lists this transfer RNA (71 nucleotides) under Zygosaccharomyces bailii CLIB 213. RNAcentral's name for it is "tRNA-Asp (GTC) (tRNA-Asp-GTC-3-1)". It matches the Rfam family "tRNA". From Rfam's summary of the family: Transfer RNA (tRNA) molecules are approximately 80 nucleotides in length. Lineage: Eukaryota; Fungi; Ascomycota; Saccharomycetes; Saccharomycetales; Saccharomycetaceae. The record is from RNAcentral.
UCCGUGAUAGUUUAAUGGUCANAUGGGCGCUUGUCGCGUGCCAGAUCGGGGUUCAAUUCCCCGUCGCGGAG